RNAcentral lists this microRNA precursor (102 nucleotides) under Marmota monax (woodchuck). Lineage: Eukaryota; Metazoa; Chordata; Mammalia; Rodentia; Sciuridae. The record is from RNAcentral.
AUUAGAAUUGCUGGGUUAUAUGAUAACUCUAUAUUUAAUUCUUUGAAGAACUGCCAGACUAUUUUCUAAAGAACUACAUCAUUUUACAUUCCCACCAGCAAU